RNAcentral lists this long non-coding RNA (1003 nucleotides) under Glycine max (soybean). Its description in RNAcentral is "long non-coding RNA (GMAX_LNC003728)". Lineage: Eukaryota; Viridiplantae; Streptophyta; Magnoliopsida; Fabales; Fabaceae. The record is from RNAcentral.
UGUUUUGGGGUUUGUGUUUUGUGUUAUUUGGAUGUGAGGGGCUUUUAGGAAUGAGGAAUUGUAGAUUUGUGAAUGAAGAGUUGGGCUGUGGAGCAAGUAAAAGUGCGGGAAUCAACAUGGUGUUGUAUUAUGAUUGAUUGAUAACCUUGUCCCUAAGUAUGUGGUGAGAGGCCUGAUCCCGAGGAUUUUGUAUUUAGAAAAAUAUCUGUUGAGAGAGGUGAACCCUUAAAUGAAUCUUAGUACUUGAGGGAUUAGCCCUGGCUCCGAACGGGAAGAUACCUGAGUGCAACCAAAAAAAGAAAAAGGAAGAGUAAAAGUGUGGGAAGAACAAAAAGAGGAGAAAAAUAGAUUGAGGGCAUCUUGGUUUGUUAGAACUUAACUGCAAGAAUUAUGGAGUAAUUGAUGUUGUUUUGCAUGUACUGGAAGAAAAAGAAGGUAGUGAUUAGAUUUAAUUUUUAAUAGACAUAUGAUUGAUUUCUGAUAUGCUCAAGUUUGAGAUUUCUUUCUUUCUUUUUUUUUUGCUUGAAUUAUGAGUAACCUACAAGCUUGGUCCAAUCAUGCAACUAAUUUUUGGCUCAUCAAUCUUUAAGCUUGACCCUUUUCAGAAACCUUUGCGAAUGAUUAACCUUUUGGUUGCUACUUUUCAUCCAACCUAUUUGAAUGUGACCUAUAUAUGUAUGCAUUGGAGGUUUCCAACUUUUUAAGAUAGAAAUGUAUCUGAAAUCUCUAAAUACAUGAGCUGCAGAAGAGGAAAAAUAUGCUGAAAAAUCUUGUAAUUGUGAAUACCUGACUUUGUGAGAAAAAUAGCAUGGCAGAAUCUGAGUCCAUGAUUUAUCAUCCUGUAUUGAUGGUCUUCUAGUUUGAGGCAGUGGAAGCUGAGGGUUGGGUUUGGAAAAGACUGUCUUUAUUUACUUUUUUAAAAUCUCGAAAUAUUUUACUUCAAUUUCCAGACAUUAGGGCCCCAAGUGUGCCCUUUGACACAAUUAAAUAUGUGGUUCUGUAA